This 357-nucleotide ribosomal RNA is filed under the name uncultured bacterium. Its description in RNAcentral is "bacterial SSU rRNA". It matches the Rfam family "Bacterial small subunit ribosomal RNA", at positions 32 to 369 of the family's 1533-position model. The record is from RNAcentral.
AAUCAACGCUGGCGGCGUGCCUCAGACAUGCAAGUCGAACGCGAAAGUUUCCUUCGGGGAACAAGUAGAGUGGCGCACGGGUGAGUAACACGUAGGUAACCUACCUUUGGAUGGGGAAUAACAAUCGGAAACGAUUGCUAAUACCGCAUAAUGCAGCGGCACCUAAUGGUGACAGUUGUUAAAGCGGGGAUCGAAAGACCUCGCGUCUGAAGAGGAGCCUGCGGCGGAUUAGCAGGUUGGUAAGGUAACGGCUUACCAAGGCUACGACCGUAACCGGCCUGAGAGGGCGGUCGGGUCACACUGACACUGACAUACGGGUCAGACUCCUACGGGAGGCAGCAGUCGGGAAUUUUGGGC